GACGAACGCUGGCGGCGUGCCUAAUACAUGCAAGUCGAACGCUUCUUUCCUCCCGAGUGCUUGCACUCAAUUGGAAAGAGGAGUGGCGGACGGGUGAGUAACACGUGGGUAACCUACCCAUCAGAGGGGGAUAACACUUGGCAACAGGUGCUAAUACCGCAUAACAGUUUAUGCCGCAUGGCAUAAGAGUGAAAGGCGCUUUCGGGUGUCGCUGAUGGAUGGACCCGCGGUGCAUUAGCAAGGUGGUGAGGUAACGGCUCACCAAGGCCACGAUGCAUAGCCGACCUGAGCGGGUGAGCUGCCACACUGGGACUGUGACACGGCCCAGACUCCUACGGGAGGCAGCGGUAGAGAAUCUUCGGCAAUGGACUGAAGUCUGACCGAGCAACGCCGCGUGAGUUAAAAAGGUUUGCGGAUCGUAAAACUCUGUUGUUAGUGAAGAACAAGGACGUUAGUAACUGAACGUCCCCUGACGGUAUCAAACCAGAAAGCCACGGCUAACUACGUG
Molecule: ribosomal RNA, 508 nt
Filed under: uncultured bacterium
Lineage: Bacteria
Description: partial 16S ribosomal RNA
Rfam family: Bacterial small subunit ribosomal RNA
Source: RNAcentral